UUCAGACACACUUCCUGUUCAGCUCUUUCUCGCACAGAUAGAAGGGGAAAUGGGUGUAGCAUCAUUUUAUGGUUAAUACACAGAUGAAGACACGACACAUUCACCGAGCAGAAAGAGAGAGUAACCGUGUGUAACAGAACAGGAGCUUUAAGAUCUUUUUGAAGGAGAGUUGGUAUAGAGAUCUGUGAGAGUGAACUCAGGAUGAAGAUCCUUCUCAUCUUCACCUUCUGUCUGAUCUCAGAUGGAGGAGCCUCAAAGGAAGUAACAGGAUAUUCAGGAGGAGGAAUCCUUAUCAAGUGCAAGUAUGCUACAGCAUACAGAGAUAACUACUAAGUCCAUCAGUGAGAAUGUCCAUAUAGGAGGAGAUUUACCUGUCAGAUGUAAAUUCCCACAAUCCCUCAAGAGUGACCCCAAGUUUCUCUGCAGGACGCAAGAUUUUGCUUGUUUUUAAAAGAACUCUGUUAAAGAUAGUAGAAAAAAAUAAACUUUUGGGAAAUUCUCCCUGUAUGAUGACAGAGAAAAACAAACCUUCACUGUAAGUAUUAGAGAUGUAACUAAGCAGGACUCUGAAUACUGGUGUGGAGCUGAAAAAGCCUGGACAUCUGAUCAUGGAUACAAGGUUUAUUUCACACAGAUCAACCUGACAGUCACUGAUCCAUGAGUCCCAGUUUCAACCUCAAAACCGCCCUUCAUCAUCAUCAUCAUCAUCAUCAUCAUCAUCAUCAUCAUCAUCAUCAUCAUCAUCAUCAUCAUCAUUAUCAUCAUCCCCAAUUCUUCAUCUCACAGAUAAAAACUCUGAUAAAAAAUCCUUGUCUACUCCAGCUUCUCCUCCAGCAGGAUUUCCAGCUUCCACUGUUAUCACUGUGUCUGCAAUUCUGCGGCUGCUUCUGAUUGGAACCAUAACUGUCUUUGUGGCUCUACAAAAGAGACAAAAGUUGCAAGGCACCUCAGUCCGGCAGAACUGUAAUAUCCUAUAGGAAAAUGGGAUCUCUUAGCCGUAAAGUUAGCCCUGGAGGAUGGCGGCACUGGUUGGAGAGUGUGGGGCAACCCUUUCUAGUGUGGACAAAACACAAGAAGAUUGAAUAUCUUGUGUACUGUGUACCUCGUUAUUGAACUGUUUUUCACUCUGUGUUUUGCCUGCCCUGCAUUGUGCUGUGUUCUUGUGUACCGGAUUAUUGGACUAUUUUUCACUCUAUGUUUUUGCCUGCCUUGCCUAAUUUUUUCAAGCUCAUUAAAUACGUUUAUUAUUUACAAAGGCA
Long non-coding RNA from Tachysurus fulvidraco (yellow catfish), 1259 nucleotides. RefSeq lists it as uncharacterized. Lineage: Eukaryota; Metazoa; Chordata; Actinopteri; Siluriformes; Bagridae. The record is from RefSeq and is a predicted model, not a curated record. The transcript is spliced from 6 exons.